GGAGAGGUGGCCGAGUGGUUGAAGGCGCACGCCUGGAAAGUGUGUAUAUAAGCAAUUAUAUCGGGGGUUCGAAUCCCCCUCUCUCCGCCA
RNAcentral lists this transfer RNA (90 nucleotides) under Rickettsiaceae bacterium. RNAcentral's name for it is "tRNA-Ser". It matches the Rfam family "tRNA". From Rfam's summary of the family: Transfer RNA (tRNA) molecules are approximately 80 nucleotides in length. The record is from RNAcentral. Lineage: Bacteria; Pseudomonadati; Pseudomonadota; Alphaproteobacteria; Rickettsiales; Rickettsiaceae.